Molecule: ribosomal RNA, 472 nt
Filed under: uncultured bacterium
Lineage: Bacteria
Description: partial 16S ribosomal RNA
Rfam family: Bacterial small subunit ribosomal RNA
Source: RNAcentral
GACGUACGCUGGCGGCGUGCUUAACACAUGCAAGUCGAGCGGAAAGGCCCUUCGGGGUACUCGAGCGGCGAACGGGUGAGUAACACGUGAGUAAUCUGCCCUUGGCUUUGGGAUAACUACCGGAAACGGUGGCUAAUACCGGAUACGACAACCGUCUGCAUGGGCUGGUUGUGGAAAGUUUUUUCGGCCAGGGAUGUGCUCGCGGCCUAUCAGCUUGUUGGUGGGGUAAUGGCCUACCAAGGCUUCGACGGGUAGCCGGCCUGAGAGGGUGACCGGCCACACUGGGACUGAGACACGGCCCAGACUCCUACGGGAGGCAGCAGUGGGGAAUAUUGGACAAUGGGCGGAAGCCUGAUCCAGCAACGCCGCGUGAGGGAUGACGGCCUUCGGGUUGUAAACCUCUUUCAGUACCGACGAAGCGCCGAUGAUGGUGGUGACGGUAGGUACAGAAGAAGCACCGGCCAACUACGUG